Molecule: ribosomal RNA, 510 nt
Filed under: embryophyte environmental sample
Lineage: Eukaryota; Viridiplantae; Streptophyta
Description: eukaryotic LSU rRNA
Rfam family: 5.8S ribosomal RNA (bases 130-285)
Source: RNAcentral
UAGGAGAAGUUGGAUAUCACAACAACCCGGCACGAAAAGUGUCAAGGAACAUGCAACCGAACGGCCAGCUUACGGCUCCCCGGAGACGGUGCGAGUGUGAAUGCUGCGCUGCGAUCUAAAGUCUAAAACGACUCUCGGCAACGGAUAUCUCGGCUCUCGCAUCGAUGAAGAACGUAGCGAAAUGCGAUACUUGGUGUGAAUUGCAGAAUCCCGUGAACCAUCGAGUCUUUGAACGCAAGUUGCGCCCCAAGCCUUCUGGCCGAGGGCACGUCUGCCUGGGCGUCACAAAUCGUCGUCCCCCUCAAUUCUCUUGCGGGUAUCGGACGGAAGCUGGUCUCCCGUGUGUUACCGCACGCGGUUGGCCAAAAUAUGAGCCAAGGGUGCGUGGAGCGUCCCGACAUGCGGUGGUGAACUCAAGCCUCUUCAUAUAGUCGGUCGCCCCCAUCCGUUAGCUCUCGAUGACCCAAUGUCCUCAAAGCGACCCCAGGUCAGGCGGGAUCACCCGCUGAG